Molecule: non-coding RNA, 46 nt
Filed under: Schistosoma mansoni
Lineage: Eukaryota; Metazoa; Platyhelminthes; Trematoda; Strigeidida; Schistosomatidae
Source: RNAcentral
GCACUGCUGAGGAGUUCUACAAUAGAACGAAACAGCUGUUCAGUGC